RNAcentral lists this unclassified non-coding RNA (242 nucleotides) under plant metagenome. RNAcentral describes it as "partial contains small subunit ribosomal RNA, internal transcribed spacer 1, and 5.8S ribosomal RNA". The stretch from base 1 to 54 matches the Rfam family "Eukaryotic small subunit ribosomal RNA", at positions 1778 to 1831 of the family's 1831-position model. The record is from RNAcentral.
GGAAGUAAAAGUCGUAUCAAGGUUUCCGUAGGUGAACCUGCGGAAGGAUCAUUACAGAGUUCAUGUCCUCACGGGUAGAUCUCCCACCCUUGAAUAUUUAUACCUUAGUUGCUUUGGCAGGCCGUGGAAACACCAUGGGCUCCGGCUUAUGCGUGCCUGCCAGAGGAAACAAACUCUGUUUUUAGUGUUGUCUGAGUACUAUAUAAUAGUUAAAACUUUCAACAACGGAUCUCUUGGUUCUG